CUCUCUAAAAAAUAAGAACGAUGUAGGUGAUGAUUUCACAAAGCAUUGUUAAAAGAUAAUCUCUUGCAUAUCUCCUUUGAAGAAAUAAAUUGUCAGAAGAUUCUAUAAAAUGACCCCUGAGAUCUUACAUGCAGAUAAGAUUUUCAAACAAUGGUAAAUAUCUCUCAUUCUCUCACCCACCCAUGGUGUGCUGUCCAGGGUGAGAAAGGGGCAAUAAGAAUAUGAUUCCACAUUCUAACCUUUAUUGUAGCAAAAUAACACUCAAAUCCUUAACAUGCAAUAAUGUUUUAAUAAUGGAUGGCUAUUGUUGUGUGAUUGGGUCAACUAUAAACUACAUGAAGAACUCUAAUAACGGUAUCGAUGUGUACGCUGUUACUCCCCACCUGUGUGGUUAGACACCUGCAUUGCUGCUCAACAUAUCUCCAAACGGUGGCCUUGUUUUCUCAACCACAAAAAUUAUUUUCAUGUUAAUUAAUCGACAUGUAUCCUCUGAAUGUAUAAACCCUUGGGCAACUUCGUCAUAUGUUACCUUGGGUGGUAUCAUAUUGCAUGGCAAAUGACAACCGGUGAAUGCUGGUUUCAGCUAAGGAACUCUGCACCGAGCCCGACAGCAGAAAACCCAAAGCCAAACCCUUCAAGAAUUUUGGACGAGCGGUUGAGGACGCUUGAACAUACGGCAUCUCUUAUGGCAAGAGAUGUUGUUACCAAGGGAAAUCUGACGUCUGUGAAUAGACAACCUGACUAUGAGUUCUUCCUCUCUAGGCGAUGCUAGUAGCUACUCCAAAAUUGCUUUUAGGUGUGACUCACCGAGUAGUCAGCUUAUAUUUGCCAAAGUAGUUCUGUAUAAAUUCUAAAUCUAACCCUCAGAUAGGAGGAAUCAAAAGCACCACAUCUCAUCGCUCUGCUUCUAUCCUCUCUCUCUCUCUCUCUGUCUCCUUUUUCUUUUUUCCUUGUGGUGGAACUUGUUCCAUCUGUGUAGGGGAUUUGCAAAUAACUACCUUUUUUUUUUUUCCUUGUUGUGAUGAAACUUGCAUGGAAUUGGUGUUUUCAAAUUGGAACCAAGUCCAAGCGACCAAACAUAGCACAAAUAAGCAAAAUUGCAGCA
Molecule: long non-coding RNA, 1105 nt
Organism: Cornus florida
Lineage: Eukaryota; Viridiplantae; Streptophyta; Magnoliopsida; Cornales; Cornaceae
Exons: 2
Source: RefSeq, a predicted model, not a curated record